AGCUGGUUCUGCUGAGUCUGAGGACUAUUUCACAGAGAAAAGAAAAACACUUCAAAAGAAUAACUCUUGAACAGAAUCAAAUCGCAGUCACUGGCAAGUGUUUAACAAAAUUACCGGGGGAGCGAAAGUGAAAUCCAUCGAUGUAAUGCUGUCUAUGCAGCAGCCAUAGCACGAACCGUGACCCUGCAUCGCAGCUGUGGUCCCGAGCACUGUCUGGCAGGAGCCAACACGAAACGUCGCUGACACAGAGCACACAACAGACAGAACAUUGUUGCAAGAUGAAGAUGUCCGGUGUCUUGGCACAGUGCAGCACUAUACAAUGGUUCUUUUGCAAAUCCUACUACUGCGCUGUAUGAAAGAUCUUUCUAAGGUUGCCACGUCUGGGGCAAUGUUCCGUUUUCUGGAGGCCAUGGUGUGCUGCAGGCACUUGCCAAGGAAGGAGAUGGAAAAGCUGUGCCUUUGCCAGUGCUUAAAGAAUGAAUCUGAAGACUGCUGCGGUUCAGUGGACCACUACUGUGAGCAGCUCCAGUGUGACUGACAGGUGGUUUUUGAAAAUGAGCUCAACUUCAGAUUUACCCUAGUAUUGUCCAUCAUGAAUCGUGAGUCUCACAGCAUUUGGUUAGUUAACAACAAAAGCAGCAAUUCUAUUUCAAACUUCUGACUUCAGAGUUUCCGAAGUUCAGCAAAAAAUGAGGUAGAAUCAAACUCUGCAGCGACUGCAUGCAUCCAGUGCCAGGCUCCGAAGGAGCUGCGUAGGGUCACUGCUUUAGCACAGAGAUUUCAAACUGAAAGAGGGAGAUUUAGACUGAAUAUAAGGAAGAAGCUUU
Gallus gallus (chicken) is the source of this 827-nucleotide long non-coding RNA. The record is from Ensembl. NCBI's taxonomy places the organism in Eukaryota, Metazoa, Chordata, Aves, Galliformes, Phasianidae.